RNAcentral lists this transfer RNA (65 nucleotides) under Saron marmoratus. RNAcentral's name for it is "tRNA-Ala". The record is from RNAcentral. Lineage: Eukaryota; Metazoa; Arthropoda; Malacostraca; Decapoda; Hippolytidae.
AGGUUGUAAUCAACUAAUGAUAUCUGAUUUGCACUCAGAAAGUACUCCUCAUGAGUCAUCCUUAC